GACGAACGCUGGCGGCGUGCUUAACACAUGCCAGUCGAACGGAAAGGCCCUGCUUUUGUGGGGUGCUCGAGUGGCGAACGGGUGAGUAACACGUGAGUAACCUGCCCUUGACUUUGGGAUAACUUCAGGAAACUGGGGCUAAUACCGGAUAGGGGCUCCUGCUGCAUGGUGGGGGUUGGAAAGUUUCGGCGGUUGGGGAUGGACUCGCGGCUUAUCAGCUUGUUGGUGGGGUAGUGGCUUACCAAGGCUUUGACGGGUAGCCGGCCUGAGAGGGUGACCGGCCACAUUGGGACUGAGAUACGGCCCAGACUCCUACGGGAGGCAGCAGUGAGGAAUAUUGCACAAUGGGCGGAAGCCUGAUGCAGCAACGCCGCGUGCGGGAUGACGGCCUUCGGGUUGUAAACCGCUUUCGCCUGUGACGAAGCGUGAGUGACGGUAAUGGGUAAAGAAGCACCGGCUAACUACGUGCCAGCAGCCGCGGUGAUACGUAGGGUGCGAGCGUUGUCCGGAUUUAUUGGGCGUAAAGGGCUCGUAGGUGGUUGAUCGCGUCGGAAGUGUAAUCUUGGGGCUUAACCCUGAGCGUGCUUUCGAUACGGGUUGACUUGAGGAAGGUAGGGGAGAAUGGAAUUCCUGGUGGAGCGGUGGAAUGCGCAGAUAUCAGGGGGAACACCAGUGGCGAAGGCGGUUCUCUGGGCCUUUCCUGACGCUGAGGAGCGAAAGCGUGGGGAGCGAACAGGCUUAGAUACCCUGGUAGUCCACGCUGUAAACGGUGGGUACUAGGUGUGGGGUCCAUUCCACGGGUUCCGUGCCGUAGCUAACGCUUUAAGUACCCCGCCUGGGGAGUACGGCCGCAAGGCUAAAACUCAAAGGAAUUGACGGGGCCCCGCACAAGCGGCGGAGCAUGCGGAUUAAUUCGAUGCAACGCGUAGAACCUUACCUGGGUUUGACAUGGAUCGGGAGUGCUCAGAGAUGGGUGUGCCUCUUUUGGGGUCGGUUCACAGGUGGUGCAUGCCUGUCGUCAGCUCGUGUCGUGAGAUGUUGGGUUAAGUCCCGCAACGAGCGCAACCCUUGUUCACUGUUGCCAGCACGUUAUGGUGGGGACUCAGUGGAGACCGCCGGGGUCAACUCGGAGGAAGGUGGGGAUGACGUCAAGUCAUCAUGCCCCUUAUGUCCAGGGCUUCACGCAUGCUACAAUGGCUGGUACAGAGAGUGGCGAGCCUGUGAGGGUGAGCGAAUCUCGGAAAGCCGGUCUCAGUUCGGAUUGGGGUCUGCAACUCGACCUCAUGAAGUCGGAGUCGCUAGUAAUCGCAGAUCAGCAACGCUGCGGUGAAUACGUUCCCGGGGCU
This 1346-nucleotide ribosomal RNA is filed under the name uncultured bacterium. RNAcentral describes it as "partial 16S ribosomal RNA". It matches the Rfam family "Bacterial small subunit ribosomal RNA", at positions 28 to 1381 of the family's 1533-position model. The record is from RNAcentral.